CAGGCAUGAACCCACGAUGGACUUGCUCCAGCAGCAGACAGGGGUAUAUGCAGGAGCAAGCCAAGUUCUGGCCAGGUUUUGCCCAAGUGAAGCAGAGACGACAAAUCUGAAGAAUGGAGCUGGACAAGGGAGCGUCAGAUGCUGCCGGGGCAGGACAAGGAUACGAGGAUAAUGAGGACUGCACCAGGCGACUGGCUCAAGUCUACAGAUCCUCCAGAGGAGCCUUCUUCCACCUGCUGCAAACUCCCUGAGAGUCUGCCGACCUACACCUGCCAGCCCAUCAGAUACCAGACUUCGACUCACCUGACAUAAAACUUGAGAACCGUGAGCUUUAAUAAUAUGGUAUAGUAUACCUAUAUAUGCAUAUAUAUAUGGCUUUUUAUUGCCCUUCUCCUCUUCUUUGUACUUUUAGUAUGGCUCUACAAAUGUCACCACAACACAGCUCACAUACCAGGCCAAUCCUAUUUCUGCUCAUGCUGGGAACCUUAAUAAUCGUGUUUUUCACACCCCCCACCACAGGCGUUACACAAAAUCCCUAUUUGCCUACAGUCCAGGAGGCCCUAAAACUUCUCGAAACUGUGGACCCUUCCUGGUCCUGCUUCUAAAACCAGCUGUUUUCAACCUCCUUUCCCUUCAUAACCCAGACGAACUCUCAGCUCGGGCAGGGGAAUCUAGACCUCCAUGUCCAGCAGGAAGCAACUACAGAAGAUGAGACCUCCGCCCAUAUUCCCCAGAUUUUGAGUU
Long non-coding RNA from Lemur catta (Ring-tailed lemur), 744 nucleotides. RefSeq lists it as uncharacterized. NCBI's taxonomy places the organism in Eukaryota, Metazoa, Chordata, Mammalia, Primates, Lemuridae. The transcript is spliced from 3 exons. The record is from RefSeq and is a predicted model, not a curated record.